UACGUAGGGGGCAAGCGUUGUCCGGAUUUAUUGGGCGUAAAGAGCGUGUAGGCGGCCAGGUAGGUCAGCUGUGAAAACUCGAGGCUCAACCUCGAGAUGUCGGCUGAAACCAUCUGGCUAGAGUCCGGAAGAGGAGAAUGGAAUUCCCGGUGUAGCGGUGAAAUGCGCAGAUAUCGGGAAGAACACCUAUGGCGAAGGCAGCACUCUGGGACGGUACUGACGCUGAGACGCGAAAGCGUGGGGAGCGAACAGG
This 253-nucleotide ribosomal RNA is filed under the name uncultured bacterium. Its description in RNAcentral is "partial 16S ribosomal RNA". It matches the Rfam family "Bacterial small subunit ribosomal RNA", at positions 524 to 776 of the family's 1533-position model. The record is from RNAcentral.